Molecule: ribosomal RNA, 876 nt
Filed under: Triticum aestivum (bread wheat)
Lineage: Eukaryota; Viridiplantae; Streptophyta; Magnoliopsida; Poales; Poaceae
Description: partial small subunit ribosomal RNA
Source: RNAcentral
AUGACGCCUCCCUUCCUCGCCGCCUCAGGCCCCGACGACUACGCGUUCGUCCGCUGCGCCUCCGGCUGCGACUCCUGGGCCCCCCACCACGUCCGCCUCGACGGCGACUCGUAUCGCCUCUGCUCCUCCUGCGUCCUCCUCUCCAACCCCGAGGCCUACUGCUCCGCCUGCCUCCUCCUCCUCUUUCCCGGCGCCUACGCCGCCUCCUCCCGUGAAGCCCACGUCGACUUCUCGCCAGGCUCCACCGCCGCCUGCUCCAACUGCGGCGUCUUCGUCGCUCACCUCUCCUGCAUCGCGGACCCCUACUCCUUCAUCUGCCCGCCGUGCGCCGCCGCCGUCGACAACGUGCCCUUCUCGUACGAUCUCGCGGGAGCGGGGCGGCGCGCGCUGGAGGGGCGCUCCGCGCGCGUCCUCCUCACCGCGGCGCUGCUUUCGCACGAGUCCGCCUUGCACGACGCCGCCGCGGCCCGCGAGAAGGCGGAGCGUAGCGUACAGGAGGCUGCGGCCGCCCGGAGGCUAGCGCGCGACAUGCUAGACGCCGCGUUUCGCGCCGCUGAGGCGGAGGUCUACAGGGACGCCAAGGAGCAGGCCACGCCGUCCGCGCCCGCAGUCGUGCAGCUCAAGAAGAAGACGCCUAAUACCAACGGGCACAAGAGGAAGACCCCCAAGAGCAACGAUGCCAACAGGGAGAGGGACAGGCUGCUCAAGUUCAACGACAUGCAGCAGCCGUCGCUGGCGUUUGCCGCGGCUGCGGCGGCCGCAGCCAGCUCAAUGCCAUCGCCGAUGCCAUCAUCAAGACUGAACCAGAGUCAAGUGAAACAGGAAGCCAUGCCAUUGCCGAUGCCGUCAUCGAGAUUGGACCGCGGAGGUGAAUAA